GACGAACGCUUGCGGCGUGCUUAACACAUGCAAGUCGAACGGAAAGGCCCUGCUUUUGUGGGGUGCUCGAGUGGCGAACGGGUGAGUAACACGUGAGUAACCUGCCCUUGACUUUGGGAUAACUUCAGGAAACUGGGGCUAAUACCGGAUAGGAGCUCCUGCUGCAUGGUGGGGGUUGGAAAGUUUCGGCGGUUGGGGAUGGACUCGCGGCUUAUCAGCUUGUUGGUGGGGUAGUGGCUUACCAAGGCUUUGACGGGUAGCCGGCCUGAGAGGGUGACCGGCCACAUUGGGACUGAGAUACGGCCCAGACUCCUACGGGAGGCAGCAGUGGGGAAUAUUGCACAAUGGGCGGAAGCCUGAUGCAGCAACGCCGCGUGCGGGAUGACGGCCUUCGGGUUGUAAACCGCUUUCGCCUGUGACGAAGCGUGAGUGACGGUAAUGGGUAAAGAAGCACCGGCUAACUACGUGCCAGCAGCCGCGGUGAUACGUAGGGUGCGAGCGUUGUCCGGAUUUAUUGGGCGUAAAGGGCUCGUAGGUGGUUGAUCGCGUCGGAAGUGUAAUCUUGGGGCUUAACCCUGAGCGUGCUUUCGAUACGGGUUGACUUGAGGAAGGUAGGGGAGAAUGGAAUUCCUGGUGGAGCGGUGGAAUGCGCAGAUAUCAGGAGGAACACCAGUGGCGAAGGCGGUUCUCUGGGCCUUUCCUGACGCUGAGGAGCAAAAGCGUGGGGAGCGAACAGGCUUAGAUACCCUGGUAGUCCACGCUGUAAACGGUGGGUACUAGGUGUGGGGUCCAUUCCACGGGUUCCGUGCCGUAGCUAACGCUUUAAGUACCCCGCCUGGGGAGUACGGCCGCAAGGCUAAAACUCAAAGGAAUUGACGGGGCCCCGCACAAGCGGCGGAGCAUGCGGAUUAAUUCGAUGCAACGCGUAGAACCUUACCUGGGUUUGACAUGGAUCGGGAGUGCUCAGAGAUGGGUGUGCCUCUUUUGGGGUCGGUUCACAGGUGGUGCAUGCCUGUCGUCAGCUCGUGUCGUGAGAUGUUGGGUUAAGUCCCGCAACGAGCGCAACCCUUGUUCACUGUUGCCAGCACGUUAUGGUGGGGACUCAGUGGAGACCGCCGGGGUCAACUCGGAGGAAGGUGGGGAUGACGUCAAGUCAUCAUGCCCCUUAUGUCCAGGGCUUCACGCAUGCUACAAUGGCUGGUACAGAGAGUGGCGAGCCUGUGAGGGUGAGCGAAUCUCGGAAAGCCGGUCUCAGUUCGGAUUGGGGUCUGCAACUCGACCUCAUGAAGUCGGAGUCGCUAGUAAUCGCAGAUCAGCAACGCUGCGGUGAAUACGUUCCCGGG
This 1343-nucleotide ribosomal RNA is filed under the name uncultured bacterium. RNAcentral's name for it is "16S ribosomal RNA". It matches the Rfam family "Bacterial small subunit ribosomal RNA", at positions 28 to 1378 of the family's 1533-position model. The record is from RNAcentral.